CCUCCUCGAUCUGCUGCGGGCAGAUGUAGUGGAUGUGGCUGUCGAACCCGCCCGCCGUGAGGAUUUUUCCUUCCCCCGCGAUGACUUCCGUCCCCGGUCCGACGACGAUGUCGACGCCGGGCUGGAUGUCCGGGUUGCCGGCCUUGCCGAGCCUGACGAUGCGGCCCUUCACGAUGCCGACGUCGCAUUUCACCACGCCCCAAUGGUCCAGCACCACCGCGUUGGUGAUGACGGUGUCGACAGCCCCGUCGGCGUUCGUCACCUGGGACUGCCCCAUGCCAUCGCGAAU
Small RNA from Methylobacterium sp. Leaf399, 289 nucleotides. It matches the Rfam family "5' ureB small RNA". NCBI's taxonomy places the organism in Bacteria, Pseudomonadati, Pseudomonadota, Alphaproteobacteria, Hyphomicrobiales, Methylobacteriaceae. The record is from Rfam.